GAUGAAGAACGUAGUGAAAUGCGAUAAGUAAUGUGAAUUGCAGAAUUCAGUGAAUCAUCGAAUCUUUGAACGCACAUUGCGCCCCUUGGUAUUCCGGGGGGCAUGCCUGUUCGAGCGUCAUUAUAACCCCUCAAGCUCAGCUUGGUGUUGGGGCCUGCCAACUGGCAGCCCUUAAAAUCAGUGGCGGCGCCAUCUGGCUCUAAGCGUAGUAAUUUCUCUCGCUAUAGGGUCCCGGUGGAUGCUGGCCAACAACCCCCAAUUUUCUAUGGUUGACCUCGGAUCAGGUAGGGAUACCCGCUGAACUUAAGCAUAUCAAUAAGCGGAGGA
RNAcentral lists this unclassified non-coding RNA (327 nucleotides) under soil metagenome. RNAcentral's name for it is "partial contains 5.8S ribosomal RNA, internal transcribed spacer 2, and large subunit ribosomal RNA". The stretch from base 1 to 120 matches the Rfam family "5.8S ribosomal RNA", at positions 35 to 154 of the family's 154-position model. The record is from RNAcentral.